UUAGACUAGAAGUUUAUUGAACUUGAUACUCAUAUUAGAUGAUAAAUUAUAAUUAGUAAAAAAAAUAAAGGUGGAAUUUAGGUUUUUGAGGGAUAUAUGUUUAAAUCUAAAUAAUUUAGGAUCUAAACGAGGAUUAGAUACCCUCUUAUUCUUCAGGUUAUAUAUGAGGGGAGUAGUAGUUAUUACCUUGAAACCUAAAGGGUUUGGCGGUGUCUUCUGUCUACGGAGGAAUCUGUCGAGUAAACGAUAUGCCACGAUAUAUUUUUCCUUUGUAGAGGUUUGUAUACCGUCAUAUGUAUUAUGUGAAAAUAUAUAGUAAAAUGGAGUGUUAUAAAUAGAUUAGAUCAAGGUGCAGCUUAGAAAGGUUCUGAUGGAUUACAUUCUGUUAAUAGGUGGAGGGAGGAUUGAAAAGUUUUCGGAAAAUGGAUUCGUAAGUAAUAGAAUUAAGGGAAGUUCUAUGGAAAGUAAGAGG
RNAcentral lists this ribosomal RNA (472 nucleotides) under Turcolana sp. MB-2003. RNAcentral's name for it is "partial 12S ribosomal RNA". The record is from RNAcentral. Lineage: Eukaryota; Metazoa; Arthropoda; Malacostraca; Isopoda; Cirolanidae.